This 489-nucleotide ribosomal RNA is filed under the name uncultured bacterium. RNAcentral's name for it is "bacterial SSU rRNA". It matches the Rfam family "Bacterial small subunit ribosomal RNA", at positions 26 to 507 of the family's 1533-position model. The record is from RNAcentral.
AGAACGAACGCUGGCGGCGCGUCUUAAGCAUGCAAGCGGACGGCAAGGGUAGCAAUACCCCUAGAGUGGCGGACUGGUGAGUAACGCGUGGGUGACCUACCCUCGAGAUGGGGAUAGCCAUUAGAAAUAGUGGAUAAUACCGAAUACGCUCUGGAUGCUCUGGCGACCAGAGGAAAUCAGGCUACGGCCUGGCUCGAGGAUGGGCCCGCGUCCCAUUAGCUAGUUGGUGAGGUAACGGCCCACCAAGGCGACGAUGGGUAUCCGGCCUGAGAGGGUGUACGGACACAUUGGGACUGAGAUACGGCCCAAACUCCUACAGGAGGCAGCAGCUAAGAAUAUUCCGCAAUGGACGAAAGUCUGACGGAGCGACGCCGCGUGGAUGAAGAAGGCCGAAAGGUUGUAAAAUCCUUUUGCCGAUGAAGAAUAAGUGGUGUAGGGAAUGACAUCAUGAUGACAUUAGUCGGUGAAUAAGCCCCGGCUAACUACGUG